GGUGCUGAAAGCCUGAAGAACCUACACACCGAGAUAUCGCACCGUUGAUUCAUUUUCGUCGACAACACACGCGAAACGGCACUAGAAUAAGCCCUGACCUUAACAGCUACGCCUGGGCAAGCAAGUUCAAGUAUUGUUUCUUUGGGUGCUCGUGUAAAGCAUAUAAGCACUGUUAUGGAACUGCCUACUAAAUGAGAUAAUCUGUCUCUUUGAUUCCUAAUUCCCUACUACACUGGAUCGGUGCUCUCUGAAAGGGGUGAGUAAUCCGUUUGGGUGAGUCAUCCGUAGAGUAAGCUGAUUGGUUACCGCUAGUUGGGUAAUAGCAGUAAGAUGUGUUUUUAGUGAAUUCUAUAUGUGGAUAGCUAUAUGAAUUGAAUGGAGUGCAAAUCCUCUAUAAGUAAAGUAACAAAACACUCAACUUAUGAGAAAAGAAGAAAUAUAAGUGUGCACAUAUGAGUGAAUUGAAUAAUCUUACCAUUCAGAUAUACAAUACUAUACGGAAUCAAAUCAUAUAAUUGCACAUAUUUGCUUAUCCUCCUGGAAAAAGAGACUGCUACCGAGGCUAGGGUCCUCCUUCUUGUAAAAGAGACUGCUACGAAGGUAUUCCUGUAAAAGAGACUGCUACCGAGGCUAGGGUAUUCCUGUAAAAGAGACUGCUACGAAGGUAUUCUUGUAAAAGAGACUGCUACAAAAAGGUGUAAUUGAGUUGAAUGAAGAGUUUCUUGGAUGACAUUUGCUUGCUCCUUGAAUUACACUUGCUUGCUCAUUGCUAAUCAUCUAUGUGGGAAGUGGCCUGGCCUCCUUAUUUCAUUUUUCUUAUUCAUUGGCGUGCACACACAUAUUCUAUAUUUAUGUAACUUCACUGCUUACCCUGUUUAUGAUCCUAUUUUCUUAUCUCUUAUACAUAGCAUCUCUAUCACUCUUACAGUAGACUCCUUUACUCUUACAGUAGACUCCUUUACUUUUAAGAGAACUUUGAUUUGUGUGACGAAGAGUCCAGGAAAGAGCAGCACAGCAGGCGAUGUUACUAUAAGGUGGAUAACUCUGGAACUCCUCUAACUCAGGUGCCGGUAUUGAAUAUGGGCCAGAAUACAACACUUGCUAGUGCAUUCAAGUAAGUAAUAGAGUUCUAAUAAGACAAGUCAGAAUAUAAGUUCAGUAUAAGGCCAGAAUACAACACUUGCCUUGCCAUCGGAUUAGAAUAAGACAAGAGGGUAAGUAUAAGAGCCCAUCAACUACUGUCGACUUCGGUGUUAUGAGUGAGUUUUUAAGCAUAGGUGUUAUGAGUGAGUUUUUAAGCAUAGGUCAAAGCUACCUUAUUUCUCUAAGUCUGCAAGGAGAGUUAGAGUUUGUUGAGUUAGAAUCGGGUCGGGGUGAACUCCACUAUUGCUCUGUACUCUGGACUACUCCACUGGUGAAACCGGACUACUCUACUGGUUGGGGAAAGGAAGUAGCACAUACUACUGUCUGUAACUAAGGGACCGAUCGCCCGAAAGAUUGAGUUAUGAGCAAGUCAAGCCUGUUAAUAGAUGAAUUCCUUUCUGUAAUAGGUAAAACAUCCACCCCCCCUUGCGAAGGAAGGAAAAAAAGGAUGAUUUGGAAAAUGCUUCUUAUUAGUAUUGAUAGCAAUUGAAAUAGAUAACUGAAUAGGCAGAAUUCAGAAGUUAUGAAUUAAGGAGCAGACGAGGAGGAGUCCAAGAAUGGCUGUUUGUUGUAUUGCGGACAAAGUAUGCUAUUUUCAGAGGAGAGAAGAGAAGGAGUCCAAGAGUGGCUGUUGUAUUGCGGACAAAGUAUGCUAUUUCAGAGGAUAGAAGGAGCAGCGGAAAAAAGUGCCUCAUCGCGGACGACUCACCAAAGCACUACAGGAUCUUUCAUCUGCGCAAUCCCCACUUCAGAACUUCCGCUGCUUUCGAAAAACGGAAGAAAUUCUCAAUUGGAUUAGAAGAAGAUAUUGAUUCGAAAUGAUAUUCUAAGGAAUAAGAUAUUGUUUAUUUGACUUAUAUAUUCUAUGUGGAAUCUUAUAUCUUCUAUAUUUCUUAUUUAUUGCAAACCCGACACCUCUCCUCUUUUAUCUGAGCUUGAUUCUGUUGAUUACAAAAUCCAUCCGGAAACUGUGGAGAAGGAAAACCCUAGAAAAGCGCUUUGCCCUAGACCUUGACCUCUAAUCCUAUAAAAUGAAUUGAGCUUCCUCAAUAACUAAUAUGCCUCGGAGAACAACACCAAUCCGUUGCAUUUGAAGAUGGGUCUUGUCAUCGCACGGACCAUGACAAGAGAAAGGGCUGUUGCUAGGCUAGUGGAAAAUACCUGUUCCAAUCUAGGAUCGGUUGAGACUCAACACUCGGGGAUAUAUAUAUCAAAAGAAAGAUCUCGGCAUCCUAUAGUAGAAAAAGAAAGAUCUCGGCAUCCUAUAGCCAGGAAAUCCCCAAAUCGCUAGGGCAUAUACAUCUUGAUUCUUUAUCCCCCAAGAGAAUCCGACAAUAAUUCCAUUCCAUAUCUCAAAUAUAGGCAAGAUCCAUAUUCCAUUGAAAAUCCAUUGAUAAUAGAAUGCCAUCCGUAGAAAAGCGCAAAGGAGGAUUGAUAUGGCAUGAACCGGUCUGCUCCAUCUGCUGAUCCUCUCCGGAGGCGGGCGGGCAGGUUCUUUUUGUGUGAUUGGACGGACGUACUUUUGGGUCAUUCUCUAUUGGAAAAGAUGGGUAAAAAGCCCCCUCGGUAGUAUCCAUAGGGAAUCAGGUAUAUUCGACCCUUGAUCUCUUCCUAAUAGUUAGUUAGGCGACCCUUGAUCUCUUCCUAAUAGUUAGUUAGGGUGGUAGUCAAUCACUAGCCCUUCCCAUUUCCAUAUCAUAAAUAAGUAUCAACGGACACUUUAAGGUAAGGAGAAAGAAGUGAACCCGUGGGAAGGAAAAAGGAAUAGAAUAACACAAUCGAAAAAGCAAUCAAGUAAUGCCUUCUGUUGUCGGAAUGGGAGCAGCUAUGGAAUUCGCAUCUGGCUAUACUGCUGGACUGGAAAACAUUCUUUCCCCUCGCAUAGAAUCAAAAAGGGAAACGCAAUAAGUCGUUACUAAGUAAGCACGCCCACGGGCUAGCGAAGUCACUUACCAACUUCAAUUCUCUUAUAAAAGGAAACGAUCUUUAAACAUAACCAAUAGCGUCGACUCUUUUUCUUUUGCCCAGGAGUAAGUAAUUGAUACCGAGAAGAAGCUCCUCUUUCUUUAGUUCGGGUUCCCCUGUGGAAUGUAUAAGGUGGUAUGGGCCUUAUCCUAUAUGAGAAUAAGAAUAUCAAAGGUCAAAUGCUUGCUUUAGGGGAAAGAGAAAUAAUCCUCUAAAAGCAAUGUGCCAAGUAAUCUUCUUUGGAUUUUCGACUCAUUAAUUCCUCUUCGGGAGCAGCUAUUGAUUGAAUCCGCAUCUCUUGCAGGACUAUGGCUGUCGUCAAAACCUUGACCUUCCUUCUCUAACUAAUUGAUAGAUUGUGGGCGUAAGACCCUUCUCUUUGCCGAUCUAGGUGACAUAGAGGUUUAUAGCUCGUAAAAAAACAUGGCAAAUAUCUAUAUAAAUAUAGAAAUAGGAUAGGAUAGGACUUAUGUUCGGCCCUUUACUUAUUAAGGCAGCUUUCCCCUCUCAGUUAGGAGGAAUGAACUACAUAGAGGAAAUCGCUCUGUAUGAUAGAAAGAAGUCACCAAAACCCUACUCGUUACUUGCAGAAUGGAAUUCCAUCUUUCGAGCACCUACACCUAGUCUAGAUUGAUGUAAAACACUAUACCUUUUGCCUCUGGUCGCCUUGAAUAGAGACUUAUGUCAACUCACCACCGCCUGACUUAGUAGUUAACCUCUUCCUCUCUCUACAUUUAGUAGUUAACCUCUUCUUCUCUAUACAUUGAGUGCAAAAUAGGAUAGAUGUCCAGUCCACCCCACCAAGUCAGUAAACAAAACAACCCUAAUCAACUGAAGCAAACUAGGGAAUAAAAGAACCAAACUCUGAACUAAGACUUGAGAACAACUGUCUGAAUUCUUAAAACACAUAGCAAGUAGGCAAGCAUAUACUAGAGCCAGAAAUCAGAGAAGGUAGGGUAGAAAACGACCGAGACAAGCCCUCGCCCUCCUUAAAGUAGUAGUCCAAUCGAGACCGGCACCCCUCGUAGUAGUUGUUACUUGUAUGCUUGUUCUCUAUAGCUAUAGCCUUGGUAAGGCAGAAUAGAGGAAGCGGCUUACUCACUAUUCUUAUAUCAUGAUGGGUGCAUAUAUCGAUUGGAUUCAAUUCAGAAAGACAUAUUCGAUUCCGCUGUUUCUUUACUCAACAUGAGAGUAAGCUGUUUCUUUACUCAUUUCUAUGAAAUUUGAUAAGAUUAGUAGCUUUAGAGUUACUGAGUUAGACUUUAAGCCAUUACUGAAUGAAGCUAUCGGCACUCCUAGCUCGCUAUAGGAAUUCAUAAGCAAAGCACAAACAAGGUUUAGUCAAUAAGUAAAGUACUUGAGUGGAGUGAGGUGACCCCUUGACUAUUGAGGACAGAGGCCCCGUUAGAUAAGUUAACCGUAAUAACUUCUUCUACUUCGCCUUUCCUUUCCUUUCGGCCAUCCUUUGAUACUAUCUGUAUUGAGCUUGCCUUUCCUUUCGCUUGAAUAAUAGCCUUCUUCAGCGAACCUUGAAUAAUUGGACGAGAUUCUGGUCUUCUGUAAGCGCCCCGAAAACUCACAUUCGAACUAUCUUUGGCUUCUGGAUCUGUAACUCCACGAAAGGACGGACAAGGAGUGUAAGCUGGACAUUGACGACUUGGACCACUAUCUAUGAUAUGCCACUUGAACCAAAACAGUAGGGGGCGGCUUCUUUUGAGUGGUUUUCACCUAUAUUAACCAGAGCUCAUAGCAAAUCUACUUAUUUAAACAAUGUUUCUGUUCCUUGAAAUGCUUUUUGCCUAGAAAGAGAGUAGCUCGGCUCUUCACUGUACCGAACCUGUACCGUUUACACUUACUGGCAUUAACUCGCUAAGCCGGCAUUAACUCGCUAAGGCUUACUCUUUGAGCGCGCAUUGUUGAGUUCCGAGCAAAGAAGUCUUUGUUUAUUGUUGCAGGAUCGGGUGCUUACGUGAAAGAAUCUGAUGGGACGCAAGAACUAGUAACGGUGUUCUGCUAAUGUGAAGAUAGACGAAAGUCAUAACUGAGUCCAGAAGCUUUUGGAAAGCCGCAAGACUAAACAAGCUGACUUUAUUGCGCUAAGCACCUCUGAUUCUCGAGUUCACUUUCCUGUUUAAGAUCCUGUUCCUACUUGCUUCUACUUGAUCUGUUGAAACUGUUUCCUCACCAGAUCCCGGGUUAUCUACCUAUUGCUUGUUCCGAGUCAACUCAUGAAUUUGCAUUUCACUCUCCUACAUCGCAGAAUUCUAUUGAAAUUGUUAACUCCGUAGGGUAGGCGCAAGUCCAAGCCUUUAUUGAAUCUAUCGCAGUCAGGUCCACUUUUCACUCCCUUAGCGCAACAGUCUCUGCUGAUAAAGCAUCUAAUCAAGGAGACUUAGCGCUUGCUGCUGAGAUUGAUUUCUGAAUUGAAGAAUAUCAUUGAGUGCACUGAUCAUAAGUAACACCUGACUCUGAUUCUUAUGCUCCCGCUGGAACUACACUUGCAGACUGAAACACAAGAAAGACUAUCAUUGCUUAACACAAGCACUUUACUCUGGAAAGCCAAGUUGGAUAGCGAUGUACGAAAGAAUGGGUAAGGAAAGGCGAAGUCAAGUGUUUUAGGAAAGUCUCUAGUUUCAAGUGCUGUUUUCUAGGGCUUAAUAGGUUUUCAUCUGGCUUAAUCGGUUUUCAUCUUAUUAUUAAGAAAGAAGAGGAUAUCAACUAGCCCUACCCUAAGGAUACAGAUGGACCUACCCUAAGUAAAGUACCUAGCGCUGGUAGAUUAGCCAGAGCCUACAGUAGCUAUCAAGUAAGCUGAUGCGGAUAGGGGAUGCUUCACCGAACAAGUGAAUAAGCCGUAUAAAGUCCAGUUAACCAUAGGGGUAUAAUAGAUGUUAUGUUGGUAGCAAAUCCACCCAGUGCCCCCUCUCGCCAACCGAUAACUCUUAUACUCUAUUCUGAUCCUCAGGUACGUCAUCUAGUGCUAAGAAGGUACUUCGGAGAAAAAUGAAUUCCAAGACUCAGUGAAAAGAUCUUAAGCCGGAAGCUGGCUCUUAGCACCUUAUUUGUUUAGUUUACUUUUACUUAGGAUAGUUGUUAAGUAUUGCCAGGUCCCUAUCGUUCAAGAAAAUAAGUGGAGUAUUGUAAAGAAUUUCGUAAAGAGGAAGGAUCUUUAUAAGGAUCAGAAGUGUGCAGCAAUAUAUGAGUCUCCUCUUUCAGUUCUUGGCUACUUUCAUCCUAUAGAGGUCGGGGCAGAAUCCAGUCCUGCUUUAGCUGAAGCGCUAACGGGAGCUUGCUCGAGAUAGUCUCAAAAACGUUACUUGUUAAUAACUCGUAGGAGGUGAAGAAAGGACUACGUUGCCUGGUUGUUGGACUCGGCGCUUAGGAGAAAGUUUGCAUUGUGUCGAGAUUCACUAGUUAUAGAGCACCAGACCAUUAAAGAAAUUGAUGUUUGAGUUGAGCUUUUGAGUUGACUCUAAGCAAGAGAGAGAAAUUGAUUCAAUGUUGCAAGCAGGUCCGCAAGUGAAGGAGAGUUCGCCUAAGCUGCUUGUCCCGCCUCCAAGUCUUAGAGAUAAGAUGAAAUAGAAAGUAAGUCAGCUGCCCUAAGAAAGGAAAUAAGCUUAGGAACAAAAGAGAAGGAUGUUGUUAUAGAUAUAGAUAAUCAAUAGGUCCGAGUGAAGCAAGGUGUCAUGGAGAAUGGCCUGUUCGAAAGGAAAGUGUAGUUAUCAGGGAAGAAUAAGAUAGUAAUGGCCGGUAUUGGGCAGCAAACGGGUAAUCUUCAAGUUUGGUUCAGGGAAGAUAAUAGGAUCUUACGCGUUAGGUCGUGUAGAGAGGUUUCCAGUUUGCUUACGUAAAGAAUAUCUAUGAUAUAAAGAAGCGCACUACAUGAUUAAGUCUCAAGUAAGGAGAGAUAGACUUCAAUCUCAGAGGCCAGUAUACGAGCAAGCGGUGUCAGUUUCAAAGCUCGUAUGCCGCUGCUUGCCGAGUCAUGAUCCACUGUUUCAUAUGUUUUUCAUAAGAAUUGGAACCGCCAGCACCUUCUUAUAUGUAUAUGUAUGUAUGCCCUAAGCUAGAAAAUGAUUCCUGAAAUGGCUGUAUAGGCUAGAUCUUCUUAGCAACCGGGGAAUACAAGACAAGACUGCUGGGUGGUGCGUGAGAGAGGACGUGCUCGUACCUUGACUAGUGCUUAUGGUAGUUUCUGGUAGCUUGCUUAUUGCUUUCCCUUUCUUCAAAAAGGUGUGAGGGAUGCGGAGUUGUCAACGAUAAGUCACGAGUAUAGAGGACUAGAUCUGGCUUGCAUAAGACCUAAAUAGAGCCCCAUAUGACUAUGUUUUCUUUCCCUUACCUAUGUGGUUUUCCACUAGUUGGCUUAUUUUAUUAGAAGAAGGAGUCGUUAGCACUCCCUCCCAGGCGAGCACCCUGAUGGUUAUCGAUUCCUAGGCUCUUAGCACCUUUAUCUAAAUGAGGUAUCUGUCCCGUAGUGAGUUGAGUGUGAGACAGAGAAAGACAGAAGGAAGGAUUCGCUUAUUCACUUAUUCAAUCAGGAGGAGCGUAACGAUCAGCUUUUUUCAAUACUUUAGUUGUCAACCUAAUAGCCCCUUUCUUUUCCUAUGUUCUUUACGAAUGGGGAGUCAAGUCAUUCUUAUACCACUAUUGAGGUGCACAUAUUAGAAGCUUCAAUCCACUUUCCAGGUAAGCGUAAGCAAUUGUAGGGUUAGGGAAGGGGGAAGCUCCAGUCAACUGAUUGUCUCGCCUCAUUGUCUGCGAAAGAGGUUAUUGACGGAGCGGUGAAAUCGUCAGCAUAAGCAGGAGAAGCAUCAGGUUCAUUAGCCGUUCUAGUUUGGAGUGCAGGAGAUUCCCAGUAAGGAAAGGAAGCCCAAUCUCAAGAUGGAAAUUCAGCAUUCCAGAUCUGAGGCCCCUUUCUCAUUUCAUUCGAUAGAAUUCUUAUCAAUUUGAUCGACCCUCACUCACUAGGGGAAGCGCGGACGAGUGGAAGACUUGGGUGUAAUGUCCGGUAGUUCAGAAGACUUACAGCUUUCAAAACGACUCUUCCUCUUUCACUUCUUCUUGUUUAGUUAGUUCAGUAGCUCUUGAAGUUAGAACUUGCCGUUCCGAGUUGCUUCUCUCAGUUUCUGGCGUUAUGAAGUUGUAGAUCAGUUCUUCAUUCUUUCUUGAGUUAUAGUUUUGAGUGUGACUAGCUUCCAUGAGCGUAUAGGAUCCUCUUCUAGGGCUCGUUUCGGAGUGAAACGAACUAUGUUAUGAAUUGAUUUAUUCCCCCCGCCCCCGAGUUAGACUUUGGAAGAGAUGGGUGAAUAGAAACCUGUGGAAUACCUUAUAAGAGAGCCGAAGGAAGGAAGAGCACUAUAGAGCCGGAGGUAGGGAAGGUGCUAAGAGCCUCGAUUCCAGACAGUAUAAGAUCCCAGAGUGUUUUUCGAAUGCCCCUUAAUUUCACUGAGAUCACCAAUGAAGAUUUCGAUUAUGGUAAAGGUUGCUAAGCUAAAGCCUCUAUACUAUGAGGGAAAGCCAAAGAAGCUGGCCUUACUAGAGAAGGGGGCAGUCCAAAAAGGGAGAUUCUUUUAGUUAUACCAGUAGAAAGAAGGGCAGCAGCUAAGAUCCCCAAUCGGCUAGAUGCGAGUAGCUCAUGCCCGGCUCGGGAAAUGAUGUUUGAUAAGAUGGAUUCGUUCGUGAAAGAAAGAAAAUGCAAUGGUGGGAAAUGAAUGGAAAGAAGAGUUGGAGUCUUUCCCCUAAUGAGGUGCCGACAUCUGUGUGAGUUCCUAGGAGUUAUGUUACAACAUCCUUUCUAGUAAGAGCAUCUUUGUUAGUUCCUAGGAGUUAUGUUACAACAUCCUUUAGUAAGAGCAUCCGAGAUAGCCAAAGAUCUGAAGGCGAAGCAAGAACAAAGGUAGUAAUUAGAAUAAGAAGAAUGCUAAUCAAAUCCAGCUUAAAGCGCUAAAGGAACCCUAUAGAAUUUCGAGAUCCCUACCCAAAAGAUUGAUACCGAGUUUCCAGUUCCAUUUUGAUCAUUUUAUUAUAAACCAGCAUCAGUGACUAUCUAAGCACCACCAUAAAAUGACGGAACAACCUGUGGGGCAGUGACUUUUUUGAUAUCCAUAGUCUUUCUUUGGUUCGAAAGCGAGAUAUCCAUCUAGAUUUUCUAGAAACCUCUGACGGAACGGAAUGCUACUAACUUAUUCCUAUUGAUCCAGUUGACAUUAACUCAGUCAGUAGUUUGCCGUUGAUUUCAUUUAGUUGACCGAGAAUCCGGAGCUGCACCAUAAGGGGGAGGCCGCAUCAGAGCUAGUUGCAUCUGUCGAUUGAGUUGAAUCAGCAACAGAGCCGGUAGCCUCGCCAAUCUAGAUAGUUCUUUCGAAACCAUCCGUCUUUGUAGAUUGAUUGAAGAUUACCACUUAUAUACACACAACUCCCUAUUGAUUGAAGAUUGACCACUUAUAUACACACAACUCCCUUCUUAUUGCUUGCUUGUAGGCUUCUAUUCUAUAAACUCGCGUUAUAACUUCAUCUUGUUCCCUUGUUUGUAGAAUAUUCUAUGUUGUGCACUUCUUCAACUUCAUUAUGUAAAUGGGUAAGAAAACAGCUGAUAAAUAAAUAUAUGGCAAUUCUUUUCAAAGCAGUGGGGGUAGCUCAACUCUUUUCAAAACAUACUAUAACACCCCUAAACUCGCUUGUGUCAUUUCAUUUAAGAACUCCGCUAGGCAGCCCGCCAACCAAUAAUACAAUUUGGAUUCCUUCAGCUUGUUCCUAUUCUCUCUGUCUAACUAAAUAAUGCGCGCCCGGAGCUGCUAUUCCUUGUUCUCGGCGACCUUAUGAGUAGUGGUCCAGCAUCAAAUAAGUAAGGGGCAUUAAGGUUAAGGUAAGGCGCCCCCGCUCAUAAAGGCUGUAGAACAUUCAUUGAAGCCUAAACUUCCUGUCUUUGACUUUUACUUGUUUAUUGCAUUAUGAAAUUGCUUAUGAAGUUGACUUAUGUUAUAUUAAUUAGUAUUUGAUUAGCAAAACCAGAUCCCAAAGAAAGGGUUUAUUGCUUUUCUGUUGAACGAAGGGGCUAUGGUGCCAGUGUUUAGUAUACAUUAUUCUGACUAGUAUUGGUGCUAAGCUCUACUCUAUUGGAAGCGAACUCGGCAGUAAGAGAAUUAAGUACAUUCAUGGAAUAAUAUAACUCAGUAAUAGGAAAAGAGCGACUACUAUUGGGAUCCAGCCUAAGAAAUGCACUAUUCUGACUCGGUAGCUACUUACGUUGAUUCUCUCACUGCGGAUUCGGAUACUGACUUCUUAGAUAAGAGUCUACCUCUCUUGACUUUCAUUCUCUGUGUUGCUCCUUUGAUCCCUUAAUUCAAGUUAGAUGCUUCCUUUCUUUGAUUUCCGCCUGUCGUUCAUUAUCUGGUUUGUUCAUUAUCUGGUUUACCGUACUGGUUCCCUGGUUUACCGUACUGGUUCCCUGGCUUACUUUACUACAACUAAGUCUACCAUUACUCGAUCCAAGGAUUGAGAAGGAUCUCCUUUCACUAAUAUCAAUAAGGGAACUGAGCUAUAUCAAUAAGAGAACUGAGCUAGUAUAUAUCAUACUAAGACUAGAGUAUUUAGUAGACUAUUCAUGUUAGUAAACUAUUCUGAGUAUCAGGACAGUGACUAUAGUGAUAGUAGUAUAAUAAAAAGCAGAAGAAGAAUAGGUAAAAUACGGAUAUGAUAUCAGUAGUGGCAGGCUCAAAAGAAGGAAUGUAAGACUAAAAGACGGGAGCACCAGACUCGGGCUUAUCCAUAAUAGAAGACAGUAGUUGGUAAUUAAGCCUUAAAACGGGAGCAGUAGAAGGAUGGAAUAAGGCAUUUAAGAGCUAGCUACGAGAGCGAGAGACUGUAUAGUCAGAACGGAAGACAGGGGUAGUCAAGUCAAGCCUUAGAAGCGGGAGAGUCGAGCUGGUAGUGCUAAUUUCUACUUCAAGUAAUAGCUGGGAGAGCUAGUUGGUGGGGGCAGAGAUACAGCUUAGGUGCCCGCAGAGCAAGGUAAGGCUCGAGAUAUGGUAAAAGUCAGUCUAAAAGACAGUAAGCAAGGUGCUCUAGCUAAUAAACCAGAUUCGGGAUCAGGAAUAGCAGUUUUCAAGUAAUGAGUAGGGCCUGUUCCCGUAUAUGAGCAGUAAGGCUCGGCAAUGAGCAUAGGAGACAAGAGUAAUAGGGCAAGGAAUCAUAAUCCAACUUCUUAUUAUAAUCAUAAAGACGUAGCGGGCCUGUGCAUUAGUUAGUUAGGAUACCGGGCUAAGUAGUCAAAGAAUGGCUAAGCUGAGUGAAAAAGACAGAACAACUGCCCAGUAGAAAAGAAUGGCUAAGCAUUGGAGGGAGUAAUUAGAAUAAGUGGUUUCGGUUUGAUAUCAAGUAAGGAUAUAUGGAGGCAGGCCGAUAGAGGAGAGUACUCAACAUGGGCAUUGUAGGUCCAGUCCCGGUAUAAGAAUAAGAGAAAUAAGUAGUUGACUUAGAGGCCGUUUCAAAGCAAGACAUACGAGAGUUGAACCGAGGCAAGUAAUAUUUGGUUUCUGUGUUGGGUGAAUAAGGCUUGAACAGCUUCGUUCUAUUCUACGAAGACAUAAGCAGCAAUACCAAAUACAAAAGUGCAAAUACUAAUAAACCACUAAUAAAAGACUAUCUAAUAUUGUAUAUGAAAACCCAUUCUACUAUAGGUGAUUUAAUGUUCUAUUAGAUUAUUAUUUAGUGAACCGAGCUGUAAGAAUGAAAAGGAGUAGUACAAUACUAAAGCUACCAAAACAAGUAAGGGCUUUGCUCCCAGUGAAUAAGGCAAGGCUGGGUUUACUAAGUGCAACUCUUAUCGAUAUUGGUUCGAGUCUGUUAGCAUUGUUGUUGGAUUAAUGGACAGUAGCGGCAGUCUUUCUAUCCGUAGCUCAAUUACAUCGAACCUGAGUUUCUUGUUCAAUCCUUAUUUCUAGUGGUUUCAACCUUUCCAGUGCUAGUUUAGUUUACCUAGUCCUGACCGACAGGGUAUUAAGAAUAUGAGUUAGGCGCCUUGUCAGCAGCAGUUAAGGAAUCGGUUUGGCUAGGGGUAGGUCUAUUCUUUUACUUAUGGAUUGAGUUCUUUAUUUACUACUUUCAGAAAUAGGGGUGACAAUUUCAGAGUCAAUAAGUCAACUGGGAAUUAAGAAACCGUGCAUAGAGCUAUGAAAAUCCAAUAAGUAACUAAAUAAAGUCAGCCUAAAAGCAAGUAGAGGACCCAUUCUUGUGUAGUCCAUACAGAGGGAUAGUAAGGAUUUGGAGAAUUCAAGCAAAUAGUGUUAGGUUGAGUUACGAGUUAAAGUGUCUUACUUACGCCCUUGCUUCUUAGAUAAAGUAUCUCGCUCUUGUACUUUUCACCUGUCUUUAUUUGUUUUGAUUCUGACUACCUUUUCUCCUUUUAUGAGAGCUAUGGUUUUAAGAGUGACUUUUUGUAGGCGAGUGCAGACACUAGUGCAGGAGAGCCUGGUUUAAUAGUAGCAGGCCGGGUGCUCAGUAGGAACCGGGGCUUACUUUACUACAGCCAAGGAUGCCCUUACGACUAGACUAACAAGGGGCAAACCCAUAUCAAAACCAGACUUUCCCCCCGAGAACAGAGAAUCUCACUACUAUCAAUAAGACCUGAACAACCAAUGGAAAGAAUUGGACUUAGCACUAACAGGGUGAAACACUACCUAAUAGAUUGCACUAAGUGCCUCUCUAAGCUCAAAAGAUGAAUUGAACCGGUACUAACAAGCCCCGAGUCUUUACCACUCAUACUUAUGCUCUAAACACACUCUUCCCCUACUGAUAUAAACCGCGUAUCUUAGCCUAUAUCUCUUUUCUUUCAAACAAACACGCAUACCCUUGACUCUGAUUUUCAUAGGGCUUACGGACAAACAGACUUGAAACCAGUGCUUCUCAUCCUUUAUCUUAUGCUAAGGUGCGGAAAGCCUACUGGAAAACAGACUUUAGUCAGUGCUUCUCAUCCUUUAUCUGACAAUAAGGAAUCGAACCAGGGCGCCUAAGCCUACCUUUUCCUUUAUCUAAUUCCUCAAAUCUAUACCUUCAUUCCUUAACUACCGAUUUGGAGUCUGCUUUCCUUUAUAGGUAUUACUUUACAGCCUAGCUUCGCCGCCCCUAGCUUUGAUUCUCUCUUUUCUUAUUAUUAAAUUCAUAUGUGUUUUAUUGUAUAAUAUGUUCUAGCAUUUUCCUAGUAGUUGAUUAUAGAAACUAAGUCCCAUAAGUACAAUGGCUAUUCUCUUUUGGAAGGCAAAAACGGCUCUUGUUUUCUCUUAUUUAGUAGGUUUGUUUUGCUAUGACACCUGCGCUACCUCACCCAUGUGUCUGCGAUCCCUUGGGCUGAUGCCCUGACCUACUCGACCAGGUGCCCGGCCUCUACAUUGAUACGAACUCUGCUUUCUACCUUAUACGAACUCUGCUUUCUACUUAACGAGCACCGACACAAACACCGACACAAACACCGACACACACCUAGAUCGGACAUGCACAUAGUCGUGGAGUUGCACCUAUCAGCCUACGAGCGACCAUGGACUAACUCUUUCAAGUGGCUAAGCGCAUUCAAUUCACUGGUCGAAACAACGGCACGGGGGGCAUAUGAAAAAGCUGGUUUUUUGGAUCAAAACCGAGAUAAAUAACUUGUGGUUUUUGGACUGGUUUCGCUAAGCAACAUAGAAAGAAGUUUUCUUAUACAAUCAAAGAAUAAUCGGAUAAAGAGAUAGGGCCAAGCAUAUACUAGAUGCGAGCCAAGUCCUAGAACACAACUGUCAUAAUAAAAGGCCAAGCAAGCCGACAAGUCACCACUAAUAUCAAGAAAAGGUAUAAAUUCUCUCCGAUAACUACUAAUACACUAGUCAAGGUAUCAAUUCUCUGCAUCUAGUAUAAGAGGGUAACUUCGCUCUCCACUCUAAAGUCUUAAUUGAACUCCGUAGUCACAGUAGGAUAAGAGGUAUACCUCAUUCAGUUCAUCGUUUUAGUUGCCAGCGUGAAAAGAGACGAGGUCAACUCUUUUCAUUCAGUAAAGGGAUACUCAGAAGCAGUCUUCAACUCUAUAGUAUAAGAAGUCAGGCAGCUAGCGCAUCUUUUCCCUUAUUCUUAUACAUCUACUUACCACCCUUAACCAACUAGUGGUGCUCUUAACUAAACCACCGGCGUGCUCUUCAAAGUAUGGAUUGAAACCUAAAGUCAGAAUGAAACUCGAAGUUAAUAAAUAGAGUAAUUCGCCGAUGGGGUCUAGUCUAAUAGAAAGAAGUAACCAAAGAGCCAUAGGUACAGGAGCAAUCAAUGAAUAAGGUCUUAUACUCUUGAUAUCCCGACUAAUGGUCUUAUACUCUUAUAAUGACUUGGACGCGGUCCAGGGCUCCUUUAGCUAUUAAUUAGGACUUGGGCCAAGCAACCUUUCUUUCCUUCCCUAUACACCCCUUUAGCCAACAAACACAGAUGAUACUGGGGAUCCACUCGGAGAAUAGCGACCUUUGAAACUACUAUACUACACCUCUGGCUCUGUCAACUAAUUAAGUUAGGGCUCUGUACUCUUUACUACUCCCAGGUCUGGUCCUUGUAUACUCUGAUUCCGGAUUCUUUUUCCGACUUCCCCGACCAACUCCAUAUUCUUGUUCGUACUUCUUUUCUAGUCUACUCGCACUACUUAUUAUUGAGUUCCUACUAAAGAGAAAGAUAUUGAGACUUCUCCUACUCCGGAUAUUGAUACAAACGACUUCCUUACCUUAUCUUGCCUCCGCCUCCGUUCUUAUAGUUCAUAAUAAAGGGAACAAGUGAGCAGCUCCAUUCCCGUUUUGGCCUCUUCUUGCUUUUGUAUAAGUUGCUUUUUGGGGUAUCCAAUUUCAUAUAUUAGCUAUUAACAGAGUAACACAUAGGUUCCACUUGUAUAAAUAAGAGGGCUUGAAUGCCUUUCCCUCAAACACGGAACUCCCCCGAACCCUUCCUUGAUACUUAAAGCGCUUAACCUCACUGAUACCAAAGACUGGACUAGUAGACAACAAAAGUCAAGCGCCAAGAACAGAAAGAGUAUCUACUGAAGUCGACCUAGACCUCGCUUCAAACCCAGUAAUUGCGGAUGAUGAUCCUGUUGAAGAUCCUUAUUCUGAUCCUAGAACUAUAACAGGCAAUUCUUCUGCCGGAGCGAGGUUAAGUGGAGUACGGUGGAAAGUUUACAGUAGUCCGCUCACUAACGCGUAGCAGAAGCCAAAUCCAGUAUUGGCUCGGUGUCGUGGACAGUGGAGAAUUUCCAGUUCCAGAAGAAUAAGGAAGGAUAAGAAGCCGAGACGAAGCAAUGCGGUAGAAAGGAACAGGCGCAAGGGAACAACCAUCAAGAAGGGCACCCUACUGAUUAUAGGAAUAAAUGCACUCUAACAGCCAAGACACUACUAAUGUGUCGACCAAACAACUAAGUAAGACGUUGCGCGGUAGCAACAAUAAUAGGCCAAGCAACUACUAACGACCAAGCUUAGGCGUAAGACUAAGUGCGGUAGCCCCAAUAACAGAUAUUACAAGUUAUUACAAUAGAUGUUUUUGGGGCCGCUCCACUCUUUCUAUUACAAUAGAUGCUUUUUGGGCCGCUCAUCUGUGCCCAUUUUAUGGCAAAUGACCCAGGAAGAGAUCAAACCUGCUUCAAAUGUAAUUCAAAGAGGGUUUCCUCCGUUUCCGACUCCCCGGAUUCUGUUCCCAAGUCCUGUCUUUGUUCGUCUAGCACAUCCAGUAGUUUACUAGUAAGCUCUAGUACCGGAUAAGUAGAUAGUUCUGAAUUCCAUUCCAAGAUAAGAAACGGAAUUGGAAGCAGUGCCAAAGUAAGCUGCUGUUCGAGUUAAGUCUAUAGGAAAGUUCUACUCGCCCUCAAAGAGACUAAGGAGAUUUCACUGCAGAGUUUCGUUCUUAAGUAGUCACUUGUCUAGUAGCUUGGCCCCGGCAUUUUGGAAAGCAAAUAGCUUGAUACAACAAACACUUUCACUGCGGAUUCUGUUAGGGAACAUCAACUGGAGCUUAAAAGCCUGUAAUUGGUGAUGAUCCUACAGACCUAUUUUAUAGAUGGAAUUUCCUGCUACACCAAUCUGCUACACCAAUUCCGCUACUACUAAGUGAAGUAAUUCCUCUGGGUUCCGUUUUUGUCUUAUAGUGCACUGCAACCAAGAGUUGUUUGGUCUGUUACUGAUGAAGUUCAUUCUGUAUUUACUACCACUAUAACAUUGGUAUAUUCCCCCACUAUGCAAUAAAUGAAUAACUAAUUGAAUAAUCAAAUACUCAAGUCAGAAUAAUAGUCAUUAGGGCCACUAAGAACGGUAUGGGGUAGUUUAAGAAUAAGAGACCGGACAGUCAGAGUGAAAGAAGCAAGUAUCCGACCAAGAGGUAUACUAGUACUACUGGGGUCAUUUACGUAUGGAUGGGUUCACAAAAAAGGAGUAUAAGAAUUAGCGGAGUGUGAGCGCACUUAAUCAGGAAUGUUCCUCUCAAGUCAGGAUCAAACAAGGGUCAUUAUCAUAAUGGUAGGUGGCGAUACAGAAUUUCAAAUAAGUAUUAGGUCGGGUCCCUCUCCCUCUCAGAUAAGAAUUGGACUAGUGCUCUAUAAGAUCGAAAUAAGCAACAGUGGAUUCCACUGCUAAGGCGAGUGCUGACAAGACUCAUCUAUUCACUAGGAGAUCCGCUACCAAUAACAAGAAUCAAAGGUACUUCUCACUCUUUAGCUCCUGAUAUCUCAAGGCUACCUUUGCUGUAACUAAGUCUUUGGCUCUUCGAUCUUACUCUUUGACUGCCGAUCCAGAUCUUUGCUUUUAGUAUUACUUGGCAGAGCGACCCAGGCAAGUCCAGACUAAAGGUAAAGGUAUAAAGUGUAAUAGUGGUGAGUUUCAGAAUAAGGGUAAGUAGCGGCAGUCCUGUUAUCAAUGGCCCUUUCCGAGGUGGGUUAGGAGAAGCGCUAGUUCUAUUCUUCCCAGUAGUGGUAACAUCCUUUCUAUUAGCGGUUCCGUCCUUUCUAGAUUAGCAGCUCCCGAACACAGCACUUGCUCUCAUCUAAUCCAACUCUGGCUACAAUUCAUUGAACCCUGAUGUCCGCUCCUAUAAAGGAAUUCUGAUUGGCUGUGGAAUCUGUUCUUAUUAAGGAUUGAGUUUCGAAAGAGAGAAGCCCUUUCUUUUUGGAUGCAACUCAACAUUACGAAUGGAGGAUGUGCUCGAGAUUAUCAAAUUGGCUACUACCUUCCAGAAGGAAGCUAUUAUUUGACUUUACCGAGGUUAGCUGGUGAAGAUCCUUAUUGCUUGAUAUCAAAUAGAAGGUAGUUUCGUCUGGUCUGUAGAUCAUGUUGAAUAAGUAGAGCUAGUAAAUUACACUAUCAGAUUACUUACGUGAGAGUUGGAAUUUCUUUCCCAAUCCUUUCCUUCCCUUAAGAAUAGAGUUGACCUCCUAAGCUUCCCUACGCCCAUACUGGAUUAAGCCUCUGAACCUGGCAUACCUGGCAUACCUCUCUUAUCUUGCCAACAACAAUCACCAGAACAGGAGCAGUACUAAAGGGAUUGCACUAACUACUACUUAUGAAACAGGACCACUACUAAUAGUUCUUGAAACAAGCCCUGCUGCUGGCUCUUCAUUCUGACUUGAAACUUUCCUUUACUCGCUUCAUCGCUUGCUGCUGACCUCCGCUCUGACCUUACUUGCGCCUUAACAGCUUUACCGACACUGUAGUAGCUUGUCUGAGGGAAAGAGUACUCGGUGGGUUAGCAAACUUUAGAGCGCCUGAUGGGUUAGUGACUUAUUCUAUUCUAUUAGAUUGAGUAUCGUUCUUCCUUUUUAGAGCCCGCCGGUUAGUUACUUCUUCUAUUAGGGUUAGUGACUUAUUCUAUUAGACCCCUAGCUCAGCUCCACCCUCAUAUUCCGUUUCUUAUUUUUCGACUUACUUUCGAACUACACUUUAUGAAUAGACUACUUUAGCACCCGAACUAUACUAUAAGGUUAAGCCAAGCACCUUUCCGAUACACCUAACUUCAAAAAGUCAACUCCACUAUAUUACCUUUUGAGCUACAGCGCGACAAGAAGAGAAGGCCUAUUUUCGUCCUUGUUCCUAUGUGUUACUCUGCUAAUGGCAAUUCCAUUCACAACUAAUUAAAGAUCCCUUGCCACUGUAUAAAUGCAUUUGAGCCUACUAAUCUAAUCCACUAUAGCAUUUGUUUCUUGGGCCGAAGAUCAGAGAAGAGAAGAGAAGAUUGUAAGAAUGGGGUUAAGCGCAUAAGCUAAAGCAGAAGAUCGGAUUGCCCCAACUCGGUAUUGAAGCGGGAAGUUCUGCGCUAAGGGAGUUUACAACUAAAGAAUGAGUUUUGGUUUGGACUCCGCUCUCAAUUACUGUGACUCUGCCCUCCAUGCGUAGGCCUUGGCGCACUCAAAACCAUACUGCUAAAUGGGAUCCUUGCUUAUACGCUUGAGGCUUCCACUCCUUUAUCCUAUUCUGACUAUCCCGACCCCAAACCUAACUAAGUUCUCCCCCCCUAUCUUAUUGUCUGGGGCUUACUUGUUAAAGGCUUAUUGCAUAACAUAACAUUGUCUAAUCUAAUCUAGUAACUAAGGGACCGAUUGCCAACCCAGUAACUCACCGGCAAGCUACUAAGAGACCCCAAACUCGACUCUCAGUUAAGAACCACUUCUAGACUAGCCUGUUGUUGGCAAGAGAGAGGUGCGAGUGUCUUUCUCAACUUUCUCCUUACUAAGAGAAGAUAGAAUUGAUUUGGUUUUCCUCUACGGUGUCUGUACUUAGUCGGUAUAUGAGAAAGAGAACCCGUAUAUCACCUGAAGACAUAUACGAGGACAGGAUUGUUCGUCCGCCUGUAUUCGCCCUUCUUUUCUUCUUCCCAACCAUUAGACCGGGAAGCUAGCUUAACCUCAUCCUCAGGUAUCGUUCCUGAACUGACUGUUGCCGCGUCAUCGAGCCUCUCCUUCGAUCAUCUCUUUUUGCCAAUGAGCCAGCCCCGUCUUUUCUGUUGACAUCUUCAGUAGUUUCACCGGGUAAAGUCACCCACCAAAUCUUUUCCAGGCCUAGAUGCCCAAUUGAAUCAAGAUCAUUGUCAUGUUUGUUCUAGUCUUUAAAAGGACCAAAGAGUCCAGUCCAACACCUUUUUCUUCUUCUUUUGUAAGUAAAUCAGAUGCUCCUCUCAUAUCGUUUAUGGUAUGCUCCUUUUUAAGCCCGAGAAGGAGACAGCCCGAGAUGGUAUCCGUUGAUUGUCAUCCGAGAUAUAAAGCUAUGAGAUGAAUGCCCCCUAUUUGAUUAAUUACCCACCGACCGCCCUUGCUAUUUGAGAUCUACUUUAGACUCUUAUACGAACGAAAUAAACAAGUAGGCAUAACUCGUGAAUGUAGGCAUAGAAAGCAUAUGCUAAGACAGACCUAAAAGACCUGAGCAAGAAGGAAGCGUCAAAGAGCUUUAAUGUGUUAACUGAUGGAACUAGACAAGCAAACGGUUACUAGUUAUGGGUCGAAGACUCUUAGUUUGUCUCAUAAGUUAUAUUCUCGAAAUCGACUUCCUUACAUAGAAUUGAUAAUAAAAGAAUCGACAAAAAGAGGGGAUUCUAAUCUAAGAAGAAAAAGAAAGAGAUGAAGUGACUAGUAUUCUAGGCUUGAAUCAUAAAUGGCUUGUCUCCUCUUUCACAACAAGAUGGGGUACUGCUACAAAGAGCUAUAUGAUUGAGAUAGAUAUAUGCUUCUCUUUUCUAUGAUACAGAGUGGUGAGAAUCUCCCUAGUAUUUCAUAACCGACCUUGAAAGCUAAGCUUGCUUGUUUCACAGACCCUUUUACCUAACGCCCUUUCACCUAACGGCCGUUGCUCCGUCAGCGAGUUUACCCGAGCUUGCUUAUACCGCUAGCAAGAAGCAAUCCUUACCUUACAUACAGUGAAAGAAGGCUACACAGUAGGCUAAGCGAAGCAACUAGUUUACUUGCUUUAAAAGGUGCGGCUAGUAAGGAGUCGAACAGAAGCAUGAGUUUAGUGGUGAGCUAAAGAGCUGGGUAGGGAAACACGGAACGGAGACGAAUCCAAGCCCAGUAAUAGCGUAGAAUAGAUCCGCCCUUUACAUUCCCUCAUAUCGGAUAGCCCACGUCUGACCCCAUUUCUCGUGAGAAAACCAGUUUCUUAUUAGGUUUGCCUCGUUUAAAUUGACAGUGAGGAAGAGGUCGGGUUCGGUCUCUCAGUCGCCCCUGGAGUAAAGGAAUCAUGGUUUGGUUCUGGUAGCCUCAUAUCUCCGGAAGGUGGGUCAAUGGGUGAUAACGUUUGUGCUUUCGGUGAAUCGCCUGCACUCUCUUUCUUUCUAUGAGAAGUUUCUCCUUCCGCCGGUCAGCCUUUCACUCUUUUUUCCAAAAGGGAGGAAAAAACACUCCUCUUCGGAUUCAGCUCCUUCCUCUUAAAGCUAGGGCAUCCCACCGAUCAAAAAGAAAAGAGUGAGCCCUUCUUGCUCUGUUGUUCACUGAGCCAUUCCCUUAAGAAAUGACUAGCCCCUUGAAUUCUUGUGAGUUAUUUGAUUCAUCAAUAGGUGGCCCUCCCAUACAAUCCCUUUUCGCAUUUCAUCUCCCUUCCUUUCUCCUUAGCUUCCCUUACUUGUCUUAACACUUCAUUCCAGUCAUAACCAGUAGUGGAUUCCAUUCUGCAGAAGGCAUUUCUUCUUUCAUGGCCGAGUCACUCCUAUUCUUCUUUAGAUUAGGGUUACUCCUGCUAAGAUUAUAUGGAAAUUGGAACCUUCCCAUAGUAUUCAAGAAAGCCUGAACUUCAGAGGAAGGAUAAAGGUGCUUGUAGUAAGUAGAGUGUCAAAAAAGACCUUGACUAGGGCCUUGCACGCCCUCAGACACCUACUCCUUUCGGACUAAGAAGAAGCUAUCAGAGGAUCUCCUUAACCUUCCAUUCUUAUCUCCUACAAAACAAUACCUUGACUAGGGUACUGAAGUAGACUAGGUAAAGAAGCUAUCAGGAUCUCCUGCCCCAUUCUUAUCUCCUGCAAAACAAUACCUUGACUAGGGUACUGAACUAUAGAGAACAAGUGGCACUCUACAAGCAAGGGAACAAUCAAAGAAUGUUGCGGCACAGAUAAGAUAUUCACAACUAACACAGAGCAUUACUUCAAUACUAACGUUAGCAGCUAUAGUAUUGAACUCGCGUGCAUUAGCACCCGCUACAGAAUUCAAGGCAGUAGUGAAAGCUUAAUUAAGUAAGUAUUGUUUGCUUGUUGUUCAAUCAUAAUGUGUGUUUGCUCUUUCCUUGUUCAUUCUCUAUCGCCGGGUUAGAGCUAAUUCGCUGCUAUUCAUUCGAGUUCUGUCGCUGGGAGCUGGUAGGUAAGAAUAAGAAGAAUAACGGCGAGGCAUAGAUGGGAUAGACUUCAAAGAUGAGGAAGACGUCAGCCCUUGCGAAAGAUAUCUUAUCUAACCUCUAAAUCAUCCCCUUGCGAAAGAUAUCUCACCUCUACUCUUAAUCCUCAGACCUUGACGGAAAAGCUUCCAAUUAGACCAGUAGCUGGCCGAGUAGCAGAUAGACCAAAUAAGCACAGUAGGCUCUCUGGGAUUCUAUUCGAGUAGCAGAUAUAGACCAAAUAAGCAUAGUAGGUCUAUGGGAUUCCAUUAUUAUUGAUUUAUAGAUUCUAUAGCCUACGCACUAGCCUUUAGGGGAUCGAGUUGGCCAGUGCUUCCUUCCAUCGUCCCAUCGAUCUACGUACUUCUUAACACCGAUCCCGCUCAGAACCAUAGAAUGACAUAUCGGUACAAAACUCCUACCUAAUACUAUAACAAACACAAGCAGCGAACCCAUACAAUGAAAUAAGUGAGUAGAGUCUAGUAUAUUAUUUGGAAGUAAGUAAGUAAAUAAGUCUAGUAUGUAAGUAAGAUGAAGUAUUAGAAGUAUAUUUCUUUGAAGUAAGUAAGAUAAUGCUCUCUUAUAUUAUAUGUUUCAAGUAAGUAAGAUAAUGCUCUCUUAUAUUAUAUGUGGUGUCAAUCAGUUGAAUUGGAAAUUGGGAUAGCGGUGCCUCCGCCUCUCUGUCCUAAUGUGCAUAGGGAACAAGCAAACAUUAUAUAAGCUUUAACGACUUCCUUUCCGUAAGCGCUUAUACGUUGUUGGCUCGCUAACGCUUAUUGUUGUUCGUUGUGCUAACGGGAACGGAGUGAUUUAAAUUGACAGAAGUAUUUGUUGACUUUCGAAUUCUAUAUUAGGGGGUAGCUCUCUUCAGUAGAUAAUGAGUGGUGAUCCUCUUACUUAAGAACAGGUAAAGGAAAGGCUAAGUAGAAACAGUUCUAAUAGUUCCUCUUCCUCUGUCCUGCAAGUGUAUAGGGUUCGAAGCAAGUAUAAGCUGGUGCCUCACAUUCUUCCUCUAUUUUCUCUUUCUAGUAAGCAAUGCUGGUUGUUUACUUCUGUCUUUCUAUACUAUCUAUGGAACAAUGAAAAAGCAGCGAGUUUUUGGUUAUUCUCUCAUGUUUAUCCAAUUCUAUAUUUAAUGAUAAGAUACGAGAUUAUUUACUUCAAGCAAUAAGUGAGCAGGGCAUUAUAUCAUGUGCACUUUUGUUAUCUUUCUUUCUCUAUUAUAUGUGACUAGUGAAUCAUAACGAAGCCCUCGUUCGGCCUCAAACUAGUGAACAUCCAGGAGUAUAAAGCAAGUGCUAGCCGAGAACAGUUUACUAGAAAGAGAGUGCUCAGCGGGAAUUGUGAUAGUUGAAGUUCCCUGGGUCCUAAGGAAUGCCACAGCCAGAGAGAAGAAAGAAGUCAGACACACUCAGAUGCAGAGAAUCUCAUUCCGUCAUGCUUACAUAUUGGAAUUAGUGAUCAAAUGUCAUAUCCAGUUUACCGGGUCGAACUAUCAGCAGUGGAGAAGGCAAGCACCAAUAAUAGGGCGGAGAUAUCACCAGCGGCGGAGGGAUGGGAAGUCGAUUGCUCGAUAGCUUCUCGGUAGGAUAGGAUGGAUUUGAUUCUCAUUGGAUUGGUCGGCCACCAUAGCACUAAGACGGAAAGCCUAGUUUGCAGUCUACACAGAUGGGAAGUAACCAAACGUAGGAAAGAAUACCUAUGACUCGAAGGAACCGCCACCAUUAGAUUUCAGACAAGGAUGCCUUUUUACCCGCUAAGGCUCUUACUCGCUAAAAUCAAUCAUGGAAUUACAGAGUGCCUUCCAUCCAUCAUAUAGAAUGAUGCUCUUAUAGGCCGGGAUUGAUAAAAGGAAGCGUGGGCUCUUUUCUCAGGUGCGCUAUAUCUUCUUGAGUAAGGCGAGUAUGCACAAGUCCUUAUCUUACCAAGGAAAGGCUUGAUUACCUACCAAUGAUGCCCCAAGCAAGGAAGCAUACAAGAUUCUGGUACCGGAAGGAAAGACGUUAAUGACUGUGGUAACUUCGGCUACCAACGCAAUUCCUUUCUUUGACUUUGUUUGGAAGCAGAUGGAGAAAUUCGCUACGUGAAAGCUGCUAUUCGAACUAGAGCGGGAAGGAUUGCAGUUAGACUAAGACCGCUUCUUCCUAAUUCGUAAAGAUGUGGUAUCCAGUUCGUUCUGUGCUGCUAGUGAAACUAAUGAUUUGAGUUCUAUCGUUGAAGUGAGUUGAGCUUAGCUGUGCUGCUAGUAAAACUAAUGAUUUGAGUUUUUAAGCAAAGGAGGAGUGAGCUUUAUCUUCAGCUGGAUAAGGUAAGGAAGUGGAAAUAAGAUCAGUAGAAGUAACUCGCUAACUAAGCUUAUUAUGUUUGUUCAGUUCUAGUGUAAUCAUGCGGUUCAGAAAAGAGAGUUUGUUUGAGCAUUGGCAACGAGGAGCAACAUUAUUCUAAUAUAAGAGGAUCAAACUCCAAUUGCCUUCCAGCCUUUUCAUCUUAACCCCGGAGUAGAAAGCAAAUAAAUUCAAGCAGCCUUUUAGAAACUCGAAAGAUAGAUUUCCAGCCCCAACUUCUUAUUAUUUAGGCCUAUGGUUGGUAAAGUCACUAAACGGAUUGAUUGUCCUAUCUUCUUGAGCGCUAAGUACUCUGAUGGCCUUCUUCAGUGCAUCUGUCCUUCAGUAGAGUUCCAUUGCAGUUAAGUGUUUGCGCAGUCAAUAUUAGAGAUUGGUCAGCUUCACACUUCAAGGAGAAUUCGGGGAAGGGGCAUAAUAUAGUGGUACUUGCUUUUAUUUUAUGCCAUAAGUCAAGAAUACGAAUAUCUUUCUGCUCGGGGAAAGUAUAUGAGAGAAGAAGAAAAGUAUCUGAAUUCAAAAGGAUGAGGAAACAAAAUCCAAAGAAGAAUCCGCGCGCGCAAGCUGCCACUGGUCCCGAAGAGUAAUCCCCAAUAGCUCCUUUUGUCCCCAAUGGAGCUCCUUUUGUACUUCUUACUCAGAUCUUUGUGUGUGAAAGAAAGUCUCCCGGGAUAAAGUCAGCAGCAAGCAGAGGUGUUACCGUUAAGUCUGAGUUUUUGUAGCAGCCCAAUAACUCCCCAAAACAUAUGGAUUCAGAAUCAGAGGGAGAAAUGCACUGGAGUACCGAUGUCCACCAUGCACCUACCUUAAUCUACUUAUUCCAAUAGUGAAUAUGUUCAUUAUUAUCCGAUGAAUUUAUUGAUAUUAGCGGGAGGUCCGUGCGGAUAUAGUAGUGAGUUAGUUUUUCGCUCUACAAGGAUCAAGAUCCAAUGAAUGUUCACUCUUUUUCUGUCAAAGAAAGAUAUAUCUCUGACCUAUCAAUGACUAAUGGUCGAAUAAGACAUAAAUUGUUGGAUACUUCUGGUAAUAAGGAGAAGCAAAUUAAUGACUAUUCAAUAAGACCAAACGAUAUCUAAUGGUCAUUGGAAUUUCUUAUAUACCUUAUCUAUUAUCCUAAGGGAAUUUGGAUUUCUUGGUUCUAAAGCGAAGAAGACGAAAGAGAGUCUGAAUCCCAUUACUAUAUGAUCAAGAACGAGACAAAGAACUAAUACCCUGUUUUGCACAAAGGUAUUUGACGUAGAUAUUGUCUUCUUGAAUGGAGAAAAUGGGAUCUAUGUCCUAACGCCAAGAAAGAGUACAAAGUGCGGUUCGACCCGUAGUAACACAUGAAAUAGCUGAUGACAUCAAAUUAGCAACACUUUUUCCUCAGGAUCUCUUACAGCGCGGGGAUCUUAUUCAGGAUCUCUUACAUGGGGGGGAAGAAGUCUCUAUGGCAGAUUGCUACGUAGAACAAUAGGCAUGAAUGGCGGAAAUAAGAGAAGAGCCUAUUCCUCUCUAUCAAACAUGGGGGCAAUGGAAUCCUACUUGCUUAUGGAAUUGAGUUGAGUGCUCCCUUACUUGCUUAUGGAAUUGAGUGCUCUCCCAUAAUAGAAAGAAGUCACCCAACAUCACUCCACUCCUUGUUUAAACCUCACUGCUUGUUCGUUUUGUUACUUGUUCUUGCAAUGGAAUCUAGUUAGCUGUAGUCAAAACACUGGAAACUAACUCAACUCCAAAGCUCACUCACUAUCCCCGAUUACCAUUAAAUAGAGGCAUUAGAAUUCCCCGAAACUCUCUAUCUCUAAACAAACAAAAGCACAAGGGUUCAAUUCAGGAAAGAGUAUAUCUUCGCAUAUGAAUGAUAUAAGAGCAUAACAAAACGGAGCAGAGCUUCGAAACUCACUAAGGAACUUGGACUUGAAGAACGAAACUCGCGCUAGCACAAGGGCGAAGCUGGCAAACACUAAUUAGCACUCUUUCGAAAUCAUAGAAUCUGCACCUAAACUAUCCAAAAAUAUCCAAAAGGAAUCUCACUAAUAUCAAAAAGGAACUAAACACCUAUGACUCUCGGGUUGGGGCAACUAGAAACUAACGCCUUGAAUUCCAUCUAGCUAGCGGAGUAUAGAAGUUAUUAAUGAAUCUAGCUUUGUAUAGAAUAGCUUGUUCUCUCGAGCAUAGCAUAUAAGAUAUUCUGAUUUUCUAUUGCAUCGCAUAUAAGAUAUUCUGAUUACCUAUUUAUAUACUUGGGCUCCCUUAUCUUAUUGUAUAGCUUGCUAAUACUCCCUUAUGUUAUUAUUGCUUGCAAAUACUCCCUUCCUUUAUCUUAUGGCUUGUUCCUCCUUACUCCUGACUUCAGUAUUCAUUAUUCCAGGAACGGUUUGUUUCCUUUCAUCACUCAUAUCGGCAUUCAUUCGUAAUAAUGCAUGUGUAUAUAUAUGUGGAUAUAGCUGGUUUCAAAAAGGAUUAGUUCAUAUUGAAAGUGUCAAUGUAUCUAACCUACUACUCCUAAUGUUUCACAUCAUUAUAGUGCUAGUUGAUUCAUUAUAGUGCUAGUUGAUGAAAGUGACUUUCGGGGUCAAGAAAGGUAAAGUGCCACGGCGCUCAAUUCCAAUUGAAUGCAACUGGAUCCAGAUCUAGUAUAGUAUUCAUUGGCGAUCAGAGCAUAUAUAUAGAUAACACUUCUACCGGGAUGGUGUCUUGCUUUAAAAACUAGUCAUUUCUGCUGGGGGGCCUUUCUCCUUUUUUUAGGUUAACUAGGAUUCUUAGUGGUUGGAACAUCCAGUUCUCUUGGUAGGAAUUGAAUAUCCAUAUUUCUUUCUAUCUCAGCAAAUCCAUUUUCUUCCACAAACAAUGGAUCGGUGAUGUCUUUCUACGGCGGGUCUGUCUAUUCAUUAGCUCGUAUUUCCACAAUUUCCUGGAAUGUAGGUAGCAGACCGAUUCGAUAGACAAAAAGGAAUUG
Molecule: long non-coding RNA, 26717 nt
Filed under: Musa acuminata (dwarf banana)
Lineage: Eukaryota; Viridiplantae; Streptophyta; Magnoliopsida; Zingiberales; Musaceae
Description: long non-coding RNA (MACU_LNC009398)
Source: RNAcentral